Zalophus californianus (California sea lion) is the source of this 6137-nucleotide RNA transcript. It is a transcript of the gene named FERM, ARH/RhoGEF and pleckstrin domain protein 1, with no coding region annotated. The record is from RefSeq and is a predicted model, not a curated record. NCBI's taxonomy places the organism in Eukaryota, Metazoa, Chordata, Mammalia, Carnivora, Otariidae. The transcript has 26 exons.
CCGGAGGCGGCGGGUCCGGCGCGGGCGCAGGGCUGCGGGCGCUAGGCUGGGGCGCAGGGCGGGGACGCGGCCGCCGCCCGCUUUGCGCCGCUCCUCCCCGCGCGAGUGGCUCUCGGCCCGGCGUCGAAGCGGCCAUGGCGACCCUGAGCCCGCUCCCCACCCACCCCGCCUGCUCCGCCCUCCCCUCCGCCCCGCGCCACCUUUGAUGGCUCGGACCUCGGCCGGCCACCCCCAGCCCCGCUUGCACUCCCGCGCCGCCGCCGCCGCCCGCGGGUAUUAAUAGCCGAGCGCCCCCGCUGCACUAGCAGCCCGGAGCCGCCGCGCCCUCUGCAGCCGGGGGUUCGGAGCUGCUGAGCCGGGAGGCCCGGAGUGGGAGCCGGAGCCGCCGGCGCCGUGGAGAUAUAUAGUCUGCUUUCACCAUGGGAGAAAUAGAGCAGAGGCCAAGUCCAGGAUCGCGACUGGGGGCCCCGGAGAAUUCGGGGAUCAGCACCUUGGAACAUGGACAGAAGCCGCCCCCAACACCUUCUGGGAAGCUCAUGUCCAUCAAAAUCCAGAUGCUGGAUGACACCCAGGAGGCGUUUGAAGUUCCACAAAGAGCCCCAGGGAAAGUGCUGCUGGACGCAGUCUGCAACCACCUCAACCUCGUGGAAGGGGACUAUUUUGGCCUUGAGUUUCCCGACCACAAAAAGAUCACGGUGUGGCUGGAUCUCUUAAAACCUAUUGUCAAGCAGAUCAGACGGCCAAAGCAUGUUGUCGUUAAGUUUGUGGUGAAAUUCUUUCCACCUGACCACACACAACUCCAAGAAGAACUCACAAGGUACUUGUUCGCUCUGCAGGUGAAGCAGGACCUGGCUCAGGGUAGGCUGACCUGCAAUGACACCAGCGCGGCUCUCCUCAUCUCACACAUCGUACAGUCCGAGAUUGGGGAUUUUGAUGAAGCAUCGGACAGAGAGCAUUUAGCAAAAAACAAGUACAUACCUCAGCAAGACGCACUAGAAGACAAAAUCGUGGAGUUUCACCACAAUCACAUUGGACAAACACCAGCAGAAUCAGAUUUCCAACUCCUGGAGAUUGCCCGUAGGCUGGAGAUGUAUGGGAUCCGGUUGCACCCAGCUAAAGACAGGGAAGGCACUAAGAUCAACCUGGCUGUUGCCAACACGGGAAUUCUUGUGUUUCAGGGUUUCACUAAGAUCAACGCCUUCAACUGGGCGAAGGUGCGGAAGCUGAGCUUCAAGAGGAAGCGCUUUCUCAUCAAGCUCCGCCCUGAUGCCAAUAGCUCGUACCAGGAUACCUUGGAAUUUCUCAUGGCCAGUCGGGAUUUUUGCAAGUCCUUCUGGAAAAUCUGUGUUGAACAUCAUGCCUUUUUUAGACUUUUUGAAGAGCCCAAACCAAAGCCAAAGCCCGUUCUCUUUAGUCGAGGGUCAUCAUUUCGGUUCAGUGGUCGGACUCAGAAGCAGGUUCUUGACUACGUGAAAGAAGGGGGACAUAAGAAAGUGCAAUUUGAAAGGAAGCACAGCAAGAUUCAGUCCAUCAGAAGCCUGGCUACACAGCCUACAGAGCUGAAUUCAGAAGUGCCAAAACAAGCGCAGCAGAGUGCCGGCCUUCCCGCAGGAGAGGGCCCGGAGCCCGCCGGCGGCCCGGGCGGCCAAGGUGGCCAGCAGGGAGAGGAGCCCGGCGUCUCGGCCGAAGAGCCGCGCCAGAGCCCCGCGCUGCCCCAGAGCCCCGCGGGCGGCGGGAAGGUGGACGGAGGCGCGCGGGCGCCGGCCGACGAAGAGGAGGAGGCCGUUCAGGAUAGGACCCAGCAGAGUAAAGCUCAGCCCCCGCAGCCGAGCACAGGCUCCCUGACUGGUAGCCCUCACCUUUCAGAGCUGUCCAUCAACUCCCAGGGAGGAGCUGUGCCCGCCAGCGUGGUCUUGUCUCCCAACCUGAGCCCUGACACCAAGCAGGCCUCCCCCUUGGUCAGCCCGCUGCUGAAUGACCAGGUGUGCCCGCGCACCGACGACGAGGAGGAAGGCCGGAGAAAGAGAUUCCCAACGGACAAGGCGUACUUCAUUGCUAAGGAAGUAUCCACCACCGAAAGAACAUAUCUGAAGGAUCUUGAGGUCAUCACUUCGUGGUUUCAGAGCACGGUGAGCAAAGAGGACGCCAUGCCCGAAGCCUUGAAAAGUCUCAUAUUCCCGAAUUUUGAACCUUUGCACAAAUUUCAUACAAGUUUUCUCAAGGAAACUGAACAACGACUAGCCCUGUGGGAAGGCCGCUCAAAUGCCCACGUCAGAGGAGAUUACCAAAGAAUCGGAGAUGUCCUGCUGAAGAACAUUCAGGGCAUGAAGCAACUGGCGGCUCACCUGUGGAAGCACAGCGAAGCUCUGGAGGCGCUGGAGACGGGCAUCAGGGGCUCGCGGCGGCUGGAGAACUUGUGCCGAGACUUCGAGCUGCAGAAGGUGUGCUACCUGCCGCUCAACACCUUCCUCCUGCGCCCGCUGCACCGGCUCAUGCACUACAAGCAGGUCCUGGAGCGGCUGUGCAAGCACCACCCGCCCCACCACGCCGACUUCCGGGACUGCCGGGCUGCUUUGGCAGAGAUUACUGAGAUGGUGGCACAGCUUCACGGUACGAUGAUCAAGAUGGAGAAUUUCCAGAAGCUGCACGAACUCAAGAAAGACUUGAUUGGCAUCGACAAUCUCGUGAUUCCAGGAAGGGAAUUCAUUCGCCUGGGCAGCCUCAGCAAGCUCUCUGGCAAGGGGCUCCAGCAGCGCAUGUUUUUCCUGUUCAACGACGUCUUGCUGUACACGAGCAGGGGGCUGACGGCCUCGAAUCAGUUUAAAGUCCAUGGACAGCUCCCGCUGUACGGCAUGACCAUCGAGGAAAGCGAGGACGAGUGGGGUGUACCCCACUGCCUUACCCUCCGGGGCCGGCGGCAGUCCAUCGUCGUGGCGGCCAGCUGCAGGUCCGAGAUGGAAAAGUGGGUUGAGGAUAUCCAAAUGGCCAUUGAUUUGGCAGAGAAAAGCAGUGGCCCCACUCCCGAAUUCCUCGCCAGCAGCCCCCCUGACAACAAGUCCCCGGACGAGGCCACGGUGGCGGACCAGGAGUCGGAGGACGACCUGAGCGCGUCGCGCACGUCGCUGGAGCGCCAGGCCCCCCACCGCGGCAACACCAUGGUGCACGUGUGCUGGCACCGCAACACCAGCGUCUCCAUGGUGGACUUCAGCGUCGCCGUGGAGGUGCCAUCCAGCAGAGGCGCUGGAUCACCUUCUUAAACCCUGAACACCUCCGCAUCCCUAAAUGGGCCUGGCCCAGAACCUGUCACACGAGAUCGAGCGAAGGACGGCAGUGGGCCAGCCUGCAGUUUUGGGGAAGAGCCAGACAUCACACAGGGACUGAGAAUGUUCUGUGGGGGUGACCUUCACGGUUCCACGGUGCUGCUUCUACUCCGUUUCCCCAGUACAGGGGGUAGCCUAAGGCCACGCCUGUUUCUGAAAACGUCCUCACGAGCACCUGGGUGAGGUGCAGGCCCUGGGUGACAGGUGCACCGCUGGGGGCUGGCAGUGAACGGCCCCUCCACUCCGACCCCACAGGGACGGACGGACGGACUCUGUCCUGCCCAGCACGCUGUACUCAGCAUCCUCCCUCCCUUUGCCCUUGGGAACUAGAGAUCCUCCCAGGCAUGGGGGGUGGGGGGUGAACUUUCCAGCACAGAGGGAGCAGGGAAGAACUGGCGACCGGCUGGUGGGCAGGGACCCCUCCACACAUCUAGCUGGUCCGAGGAGACCGGAGGAAGUGGGUCCCCGAGGGAGAAGUGGUCUUUCCUUCACUUGGUACCGGCCUUCAAGGCCUAUGGUUAGGACUGUCGAGGCAUGGGAAGCUGGUAGGCUUGAAACCUCCUUUGCAAGCCUGGGAGCACUUAGGCCACUCAAGAGCAACCCCCCGAGUCGGGUAGCUCCCGGGGGCCCGGACACUGCAAGGCCCGCUCCUUCGGGGUGACUAGCCUGCACAGCAGCCUACAUCGGGUGAGUGUUCAGAGCCAGUUGGCAAACUGGCCCGCAGGCCAAUCCAGCCCGACCUCGCUUGGUCACAGCCCAGGCACUAAGAACAGGGUUUGACGUUAAGUGGCUAUGCCAUGUAUCUGACUUUGCCGCUUGGCCCGAUGAGCUCAGACUGCGUACUGUCCGGCCCGCCGAGGAAGUCUGCCAGCCCGCAGGGAGAUGGCUGCGAGCCCGGGGUGUAUGGGUUUAAGGUAGCAAUAACGCGGGUGAGCCAAGCAUGGAAUGGGCUCGUCUGUCCCUCUGCCAGUGCCCCCGCCCUUGCCAGGUCCCCCUCCCCAGAGCAACAGGGAGGGGGCGGCAUUUCCUUCCCUCCCAAGUCCACUGCUGAGCUCCCCACACGAACCCUCUUCCCCUCACGUGUCCUGCGAGUAUUGGGGGUAUUUGGGGAAGAUGCGAAGAGGUGCUAGGUGCGACCCGAAGGUUGUGGGCAAGCUAAGAGCACUGAGGGUCCUCAUUAGACGUGGGGGUCUGCUGCUGCAAGGGCCGGUGGAGCGUUCUUGUGUUUUAGAUCGGAGCUGGUUCGGUGCUGGAAGCCUGGGCAGAGGCGGGCAGGCUGGGUUCAGCAGACGACCAGGAGGAGAGAGACAGCACAGAGAGAAUCACGGCGGGGUCUCUGUGGCUCUCCUGGGCUGCCGUAACACAGUCCCACCGACUGGUUCGCACAAGGGAAGCUUACUCCCUCGGGCUGCUAGAAGCUGAGGAGGGGCCCUUCCGUGCCUCGCCGCCAGCUUCUGGUAUUGGCCAGCAUCCUUGGCGUCUCUCGGCCUAUAGACGCACCACCCCGAUCUUGGCCUCCGUCCCACGUGGUGUCCCUGUGUCUUGUAAGGACGCCGGUUACUGCAUUAGGGCCACCCCACUCCAGUAGGACCGCAUCUGAACUCUGCCACCUGCAAAGACCCUAUUUCCAAAUAAGGUCCCAUCCUCAGGUACCUGGGCUUUGGACUGGAACAGUCUUUGGGGGGAACGCAAUCCAAUCCAGAAUAAAGACCGAGCAGUGACGUGAGCCAGGAAGCGGGCAGAGGGCAGAGGCCUUCCCUCCGCUGGGGAGUCCAGAAGCGGAGGCCACUGCGGGGUGGGGGGGGGGGUCGGCGUUGGCCGGUUGUGGGUCAAGGAUGUUGACUGGUCCAGCCUCUCGAGAAAAGAGGCAGCAGGGCUUCGGGGCCCUGUGAGCUGAGAAGGGGACAGAAGUGUACCUGAGCGAAGCCAACGGGAGUGGGAGUUUGAGUGCAGCCGGUGACCCCAGAGGCCACCAGGACCGUGGGGGGCAAGGAGAGAGAACUCCGUUCAGGGAGUUGGAACGUGGGGCCCAGUGGGCCGAGCACGCUGUGGGAACUGCAUCAAGAGCGGGAUUCCGGGAGUCCAGCUGGAGGGGGUGGGUUCGGUAGGAGCGCGUGCUCCCUCCUGGCCUUCGCUGUGCCUCGGAAUCGUGCGGGACGCCCCCCCAUUCUGCUUGCUGCCCUCACCUGCUUGGCACUCAGAGCACCCCAUUUUCUUGUACGCCCGUGGGUGAGUGGCAGGCAGGGUGAUGCGGGGGGCGGUCUCUGUGGGGGAUGGGAUGCUCUGCCUGGAGCUUGUGCUGGUUGCGGGGACCCACGGCUUUGUGGGUCUGUCCGCCUGUGUUCUUUCAGCCUGGAGCACCGUUCGCUUCUGUUGGCCCAUCACUAAGAGAGACACUUGGCCUUCUCUCUCCUCCUGGCCCCGGGACCUUACUUCCAUAGGUACCUUAAACAUGCUCUUUGGGAGAACAAAGCAGACUCAGGUGUAUUUUUAAUUUUUUUUUAACUUGCCCCUUUGACCACCAAGUUGUGAGGCUGUCCCCAGCAUCCUGCCUCAAAAGUCUCCAGGGUGAUGAGCAACCGGGUGCAGACGGGCGGUCUCACCGUCUCGUGUGCCGCCCCCCCGGGCCUCGGAGCUGGGGAGUUCAAGCAGGACGCCUGGGGAAGGCCUCUCUCUACGGGGGAUUACUCUUCCGUUGGGACGGACUCUCAGAAUCAGCUGUCCGGGACUCUGCUGAGGAAAUUCAAGAACAGCAGUGGGUGGCAGAAGCUGUGGGUGGUGUUCACGAACUUCUGCCUGUUCUUCUACAAGUCUCCC